GGCUCAGUGGUCUAGAGGUAUGAUUUGUCGUUCGGGUCGACGAGGUCCCGGGUUCAAUUCCCGGCUGAGCCC
This 72-nucleotide transfer RNA is filed under the name Coemansia sp. RSA 1804. RNAcentral's name for it is "tRNA-Pro". It matches the Rfam family "tRNA". From Rfam's summary of the family: Transfer RNA (tRNA) molecules are approximately 80 nucleotides in length. Their secondary structure includes four short double-helical elements and three loops (D, anti-codon, and T loops). Lineage: Eukaryota; Fungi; Kickxellomycota; Kickxellomycetes; Kickxellales; Kickxellaceae. RNAcentral also lists the same sequence under 6 other names. The record is from RNAcentral.